CGUGUAGGCGGAGAUGCAAGUUGGGAGUGAAAUCCCGGGGCUCAACCCCGGAACCUGCUUUCUAAAACUAGUAUCCCUUCGAGUGUCGGAGAGGCAAGCGGAAUUCCUAGUGUAGCGGUGAAAUGCGUAGAUAUUAGGAGGAACACCAGUGGCGAAGGCGGCUUGCUGGACGAUAACUGACGCUGAGGCGCGAAAGCGUGGGGAGCAAACA
RNAcentral lists this ribosomal RNA (211 nucleotides) under uncultured bacterium. RNAcentral describes it as "partial 16S ribosomal RNA". It matches the Rfam family "Bacterial small subunit ribosomal RNA", at positions 568 to 774 of the family's 1533-position model. The record is from RNAcentral.